CAACCNGCCCACCACUNGGGGAUAACCUNGCGAAAGUAAGACUAAUACCCAAUGACGUCUCUAGAAGACAUCUGAAAGAGAUUAAAGAUUUAUCGGUGAUGGAUGGGGAUGCGUCUGAUUAGCUNGUUGGCGGGGUAACGGCCCACCAAGGCGACGAUCAGUAGGGGUUCUGAGAGGAAGGUCCCCCACAUUGGAACUGAGACACGGUCCAAACUCCUACGGGAGGCAGCAGUGAGGAAUAUUGGUCANUGGACGAGAGUCUGAACCAGCCAAGUAGCGUGCAGGAAGACGGCCCUAUGGGUUGUAAACUGCUUUUAUAAGGGAAUAAAGUGAGUCUCGUGAGACUUUUUGCAUGUACCUUAUGAAUAAGGACCGGCUAAUUCCGUGCCAGCAGCCGCGGUAAUACGGAAGGUCCGGGCGUUAUCCGGAUUUAUUGGGUUUAAAGGGAGCGUAGGCCGGAGAUUAAGCGUGUUGUGAAAUGUAGACGCUCAACGUCUGCACUGCAGCGCGAACUGGUUUCCUUGAGUACGCACAAAGUGGGCGGAAUUCGUGGUGUAGCGGUGAAAUGCUUAGAUAUCACGAAGAACUCCGAUUG
Molecule: ribosomal RNA, 595 nt
Filed under: uncultured Bacteroidota bacterium
Lineage: Bacteria; Pseudomonadati; Bacteroidota
Description: bacterial SSU rRNA
Rfam family: Bacterial small subunit ribosomal RNA
Source: RNAcentral